Molecule: ribosomal RNA, 207 nt
Filed under: uncultured bacterium
Lineage: Bacteria
Description: partial 16S ribosomal RNA
Rfam family: Bacterial small subunit ribosomal RNA
Source: RNAcentral
CACGUAGGCGGCGAUUUAAGUCAGAGGUGAAAGCCCGGGGCUCAACCCCGGAACUGCCUUUGAGACUGGAUUGCUAGAAUCUUGGAGAGGCGAGUGGAAUUCCGAGUGUAGAGGUGAAAUUCGUAGAUAUUCGGAAGAACACCAGUGGCGAAGGCGGCUCGCUGGACAAGUAUUGACGCUGAGGUGCGAAAGCGUGGGGAGCAAACA